UGAAAGCCUGCCACCGCCCCGUUGACGCCACUAGGGAAGCGAGAGGACCUGGAACCCGGAUAGAGCGGGCGCCAUGUUAAGUGUGGGGGCCCAUGAUGAUUCUGAGUUUUACUCAUAGCUCCCGCCAGCCCUGCUGGCCUGUGGGGAAACUUUUCUAACUUUUGCAGGAAAGAACAAAUAUAUCUUUGAGCUAAUUUUUAAUUGAGCAGUUUCGUGUCACUUCCGCCCAAAACAAAAAUGUCCUCCGGUAGCCUCAAACCAGCGCUGUAGUAAAGGGGGCAGAGGAAAAGGAAGACGGCGAUUGGUGAGAACUCGGUGAGCGACGGCCCGCAUGCCGCACCCUCAUUGGCUGCGCUGCGUGAGCCCAAAUCGUGUGCCUCCAGAGCUGCAGCUGUCUGUCGGAGACCUUGAUUGGCGAGUGGAGCCCUUCGGUGAAAAGUGAAACUGGGGAUAUUAACUGAUUAUUUCUAGUGGAGGAGUAGACACGAUUCAUUCAACUGGUGUGUGAAAUCUUCUCCUGCCCCACAGCUGUUUACCUGCCUCCCUCUCUAGCAGCAGCUUACCCAAGUCCUGCUGACCUUCUCUCUUCCUUGCUUCCUAAUGCAGUGUCCAGAUGUGGCCGGGCCCCUGGGUGGACUCUCCUUAUCUUCCCAGCCCGGUGGUCCAGACUCUGCACUUCAUUUCCCCAAGCAGGCAGCGAAACCACUGAGCUAAAUCCCCA
Molecule: long non-coding RNA, 721 nt
Organism: Heterocephalus glaber (naked mole-rat)
Lineage: Eukaryota; Metazoa; Chordata; Mammalia; Rodentia; Bathyergidae
Source: Ensembl